GGUCCAUGAUGAUAAAUUCAAAGGCUUGUUUCUCAAAACAUUCGCAGUGGCCGCCUAAGUGCUUUCGCCUUCGCCAGGCUUGAGAGUAUAUGCUGCUUUUAUCCUUGGAUGUCUGAGACC
Solanum lycopersicum (tomato) is the source of this 120-nucleotide non-coding RNA. Lineage: Eukaryota; Viridiplantae; Streptophyta; Magnoliopsida; Solanales; Solanaceae. The record is from Rfam.